RNAcentral lists this ribosomal RNA (30 nucleotides) under Brinjal little leaf phytoplasma. RNAcentral describes it as "partial 23S ribosomal RNA". Lineage: Bacteria; Bacillati; Mycoplasmatota; Mollicutes; Acholeplasmatales; Acholeplasmataceae. The record is from RNAcentral.
GCCUUGGCACUAAGAGCCGAUGAAGGACGA